GAAUAUAGGGGAGUCAGGACGCCGAGUGUAAGUGGAGAGAGAGUUGCGGCCAGCGGCGGAUCUACACAGUGGACUGAACGGUGGCAGGAGGUGAGAGCAGAGUCUAAACUGGGGUUUCAGUUCGACGUCCGUCGUUGUCAUCCAAGAGUACAGCGGUACUCGACCUACCCCUUCGCCCCCAACCCACCCCUCUCGGGCGUGACCGCCUCUUCUGAUUGCUCCCGACCGCCGGGGCCUCGAUGGAGGUGAUGGAGCGGCGGCGCAGGUCAGGCUGGGACGGAGGACGUUCGUGCCGCUGAAGGAGCUGUGGCAGACCCGCCCGGUGCUCGAUUGGUGCGGGUUAGAGAAGUCCAGUCAUGUCAUGUCAUCCGUUAAACCCUGAAAAAAAUUUUGACUUUAACUCCUUUAAAACUGUGUUAACUCACACCUCUGACUCAACAAACCAAUUAAUCAAUUAGUCGUGCAUGUGGUCUCUGUUAAACAACGUUGUAACUGUGCUAAUACACUACAUCUCUAUUACUCUAUACGAGUACAAAAUGACGAUGAGCUUGGGACUAUACAUGGCACCAAAAGCACCCUAUUAUAUUAACUCAGGCAAAUUAGGCAACUCCUCCGGAGCACCAAUAGAUAAAAAAGUACAAAGAGUACAUCACCAACCACGGGUGGAGCGUCAGCACCUGAGGACAAUGACUUAAUAAACCGCUAGACCUCGACUAAAGAACCGCGCCGAUCGUUUUUUAAGAGGGUGCGGCCACGUGGUGCGUGGUUUAGUCCAGGACUUGAUUGGCGGUAUCAGAGGACCAGGAGAAACUUUUGUUUGUGUAGGAGCAAUAGGUUUGGUUAGAUCGAGCUCCUCACGGGCCGCAGGGAGACGAACGUGAGGCUGCCCACCAGUCCCCAAGGAGACGAAGGAAACACUACCGGCUAGUUAGCCGUGUGCUACUAGUGUCACCCCGCGGUGCCAUAGUAAGAGAAGAGGGAGGAGUAAGGGGAGAGAGGACCAGAGAUAGUGUGGGGGAAUUCAUGAAAAGAAGGAAGGACUGAACGCACUAACACAACUAACAGGUAGUAAAGAUGUAACGUUAAAAGAAAAACGUGCUACGUAGUCAUAACCAAACAACCGCCAAGUAUUAAAAUCCAACCGUUCAAAAGAACAACAUGCUCAACUAGAACAAAAGAAAGAAAAGAAAGAUAUGAUACAAUCGGCACUUGACUAAAACAUUCUUUAUCUCUCUUAUAAACAUCUUGGAAUUUAGAUCCUAAAUAGAACAUAAGAGUGUUUUUCCAAUACAAAAUACACAAAUGAUGUCAUCGUUGAAAUUCCAACAAAGUGGGCAAAAACCAUGUUGAGCGGACCACUACAUCAUGUAUUAAAUAAAAAGUCCAUUAAUUUGAUACUUAGAUAGUAUACUGAGGUGAAAGAAAGACUAAGUGUAGUAUUAAUCUAUCAUGCGACGUACUUUUUCAUUGAGUAGAGGUUGAUCAUACACGAAGACUACCGGUAAUUAUUGGACUUGUCAAGGGAGUCAAAGACCAAGUCAUUCAACUUUAUCCAUGAUUAUUUGAACGUGUAAUCAAUCGAAUAAACCUAUCUCGAGGAUUACUGGUAGAACAAUCAAUACCGGUUACAUCCGGUUUAUAUAUUAACAAACUAACUACAAGAGCAACAAUGAUAUAUUAAAAAACAUCGUUACAUCUACAGCUGGCAUCAACCUACAUGUUUCUCUCUGCUCCCUUCAACUAGUCACUACGAACCGUUGUACCUCAUCUAUUAAAAGAUCUAGUACGUAAGAGUAACGAGCUACGACGGCAUCUGCCCCUUAGGGUAACAGGAACAUCGUUGACGAAAACGGCAGUAUUCGCGUGUUCUCUACAGUACUGAUCUGUGAAUACAUCGUUACCUAAGUACAAUCCUAUACUCUCUACCUGAUCGGUACCCCUCAGAAUACAUGGACUUUUACAUCUCGUACUAUUGCACCCCCACCUCUAUCUUACUUACUGUACGAUCAACUACGUUAACAACGGCUUCCUCAAAGACUUCCACUACUCGGUUGUUUUCGACGGUUUUUUAAGAUACUUUACAACUACCUUCGGCUAUUUGGUAACGUACUCUUCUUGUGUGUUAGUGCAGAUAGGUAACAUCCUUCCGAUUACUGAUAAUUUUGUGUUGUAUUGGACAGUCUUCGAACAAUGUUACUCUACUACUGAGAAUAUGUACUGUAACAACCCCUGCUACGACGUUUUCUAGAGGGUCGUUUGAAGGUAUCCAGGUUCUUCGAACACGUAUCAGAUCGUUACGGAAUGCAGUUUUAAGUACGUACGGGGUUAUUAACAUGCUAAAUGAUAUUUCUCUUACUUUUAUUUCUUUUACGUGAUAAACGUUUCUUGGUUCUAUACUCCUUUGUUGGCGUCCUUUAUUUAGAUGCUUCUAUGGUUCUUUUCAAGACGCGAUAGAGGGUCAAUGAGGAUCCGAUGUUGUCAACAUGUACAGUGUUUCGUGACGGUUCGUGUACCUUAUAGUGCGUUCCGGAGCACUGUAACUACUUUAUUACCAAGUGGGAAGAGUACCACUUCGAACCUUCCUUAAAUUAUUCCUUAAAUUUUUUUAACGACUCCUUCAUUCCUUAUAUUCCGAUACAGAUCGCUGACUGCCGAAGUGUGGAAAACCAUAAUUUCAUCGGAGGAUGAGCACAACCGGUCAUAAACAACAUGGAAUAUUAGAAGGUGGUCUUUACACGUACUUCGUCUCAUUGGACUAGGAACGUGAUCAAUAAGAACCAGGUCUAGUAGGUCCUUUCUUGGAUUUGUAAAAAUACUUCGGAGAUCAACUGCUUGAACUACUAAACACCUCUUUACCACAUCUUUGAAUACUAUCAAUAGCUUUCGUUUUAAAGUUGAAUUUCCGUCGAAACGAAACCUGAUAAGUACUGAAAGGUCGAAUACCUAAUCAUCGUACGACCUCGUGGGUACCUUUCGAACGAACGGGAUAUACACCUAGACUGUAUUUCUGUAAGAGUAACUUCUUACCGUCUUUCAGCACGACCAAACUGACGGUGUCCUCUAAGGAAGGGUGAUUGGUACGUAAGACAUCCUCACACUUUACAAAAGCGUUCUUUUUUUGUCAAGAUUUAGGAGGUGGUUUCGGGAACAGGCCUCUUCUCCACAUACUUGUUGAGUUUUCAGAACAAGUACUACUUUGACCGAUCUCAUUUAAACUCCCCAAACCCUUCCUCGUGUUAACCUAGCGAUAUUCACCAAACACCGUUGACCUCAUAAAAGUCUUUAACGACGAAGCGGUAUUGUAACUACAUUACGUAUUACUCUUUUUACAAAGACUCCGAUAAGACUUGUGUACGGAACUAUAAGGACUCUUUUGACUCCUAUUGUUGUUUCGUGCGGAACUACAACGAAAUAUAACACUAGCUGGUUUCGAUAUGGACUUGUUCUUAAGUUUCCCACACACCUUCUUUGGAUCUCGCUUUAUAACACAGUCGUUCCUGCUAUUUUACUGGUAGGAAUUCACCAAAUUUCUUCACUUCAAAAGACUACCCAAACGACGAUUAAACUCAUUUUGACACUUGAACGUUGUUUUUUUUAAAUAACCCGACUUUUCGGUACUGAUGGUGUAGUAGUACCUCGCGGAGGACGGUCAACGGGAUGCUCCGAAGUAGGGUCUUGGACUUACCUUCCAGUAUCGUCUCGAUUCAAAAAAAAUAGCCGUUAACACACGGUUUCUUUAACGAGGAUUUACCUACGCACUUGAACUCCUCCUCCAAGGACAAGAUAAUACGUUCGAACUCUUUUACAAGGGUGGUCCGAAGAAGUUACAUUACGUUGUGGACUAUCACGUAGAGGGUAUACUCCGUUCCCAACCGCCCGGACACCGUAUAGCAACCUACAUACAAAAACUCUCCAUACGAUCUGAUAUAUGGAAAUUAGACAUGUAGCACAAAAUUAGAUAAAUACAGAACAUAGUGACUUUGAAUAUUAUUAAACAAUACCCCGUUACGUGAUAGAAGCAAAUUUUCACGCUUUGUUCCGUUCUCACCUCCCAAGUUAACAACUUCGAACAUAACAUGUCCUCUAGUGUUUAACAAAAAGAGACAUGAAGUCACUAGUACAAGCGUGGUAUACCUUCUUCUUAGGAGCUAUAUUAUUAUCUCCUUGUGCGCACGUCUUACUACCCACAUGGAAUCUACAUAAAGUUGUACUUCCUUUGGAUGUACCUUCCCGUUAACGGGCUCUUGAUAGCGCACUUCUCAACUUACGUCGUUCCAACAUGUAAAACUAGUUGACGAAACGAUAACUGUCUAAAGCUCUUCUUAAACUCCUACUUUUCAUACGCUACGUAGGGUUAAACUGUAACCUCCCGGAACUAGUUUACUACCGUAGUCUUAAACACCUUACCAAGCUCUAACGAACGUUUGCUCUAGUAUUAAGACUACUCCUGAACACCUUAAAUCGAUUACCUACGUCGAGAUCUCGGAUAAGGAUAUCGAGGAUACUGCACUUACCGAAAGCGAAAUCUAGUCUCCGUAGACUCUUUUUUGCAUCUUCCAACUUUUGUCCUUGUGUCCUCAAACAAACAGAAGGAAGUAGAGUCUCUGAAUUGUAGAACUCAUAAUACCACAGUAGCUCCUUUAUUAGUUUAAUAGGAAGUAUCGACCAUCUUUUUAACUCUACCAUGAGAAGUUUACAGCAACCAAACUAGGAUAGUUUCCACACUUCGGUUUACGUUUUAAUCCAAACCACCUCUAGGUCACCAGAAGUUCCGAAGCAUUAAAACUUGGUAAACGGUACCGAGUGGUUCGAUGUGUUAGAAUAAUGAACUUCAUACGUAGGAGCUCCUCUCUAGAAGCACUAACCUCCCAACACAUGUGCUAAGUCGGUUCGUCGUCGAACUCAUUGGAACUACUGACGCGUUUACUGGGUAGAUGAUGUCUACUUAUAAAGGUUCUUCAAUCAGUCGACCCAUCAAAAAGACAUCUACAACCGUUUAAUAAACUACUCAAACGAUUCGGUUCUUUCCUCAGUCUACUACACUACGAACUAGGGAGACUUUAACUUUCUUAUCUUUUAGUUCUGAAAUUACUACUCCCUCUUCUUAGAAGUCUUCUACUAAACCUUCUCUCAUGGCUACUCCUUCUUCUAAAUGGUGUUCUCCUUCCUCUUCUUCUCUGUAUACUCUGGCUUCUACUCCUACUACGUUAUCUCGUACUGAGCCUUAUACUGUUACUCCUAAUGAUUUGUAAAUAUCGAAAACGUGAAAAGUAAAACAAAGAACCAUGGUUAUUUAUAAUAUAUCACUGUGUUGAUCACUUAUUAUAUCAUACAAAUGAUAACCAUCAUUAUGUAUAACAUAUCACUAAAUCACUGUGAUGAUAACUUGUUUAUAUGGUACCAACUAUCAUAAAGGUUAAAUAGACAAUGUAUUGUAAAGUACAGGAAAGAAAGAAGAUGAACGUACGGAAAACAAUAGUAAAUGAGCAAUAAAAAUACAUUGAUUAUUCGUACGUAAAAGGUGAUACAUUUGUCCUACCCGGCGAACUUAGUAUCCACAAAGAGUCACGGAUCUGACCUAUCCAGAAGAAGAUCACGGAGGUAUCCUUUCUUACCUAGUUGAGUCAGUUGACGUGUCCGAUUUUUUCGAUCUUGUGGUUCUUGAUCCUGAAGUCGGCCAGAGUCUGAUCUCCUUUAACUGGCUGGCGAAUAUCAAGGGUUUCCGCACAAUACCCUUUCCGUGGGUAUGUGGCGAGCACUAGGUAGUUGCCACGUUCCACGGAAUCACGCCGUCUACAUAGGUGGCGGUUAACCAGGUUUUUUACUGGUCUUUGGUCAUAACACAACCCUCCUGAUGUUCACCAGGGGACCGGGUCUUCAUUCUGGUCGUCGAAGGUUUUAACACCUUCUUAAAACCACCGCAAAGUUCACACUGGGUAACCUCGUUCUCUUCCGUCUACCACAAAACCUCCUCUUGAAAUGAUCCUUUCACUUCGUCUACGAUGUACUCCUUUUCCGCCGUCGGUAGUUUUCUAAUUACUUCUUCCCUGUUAACGGAUGUGUUGAUUGUCUUCACUUACUCUUACCAUUGGCAACCGGUUGAUUCCUUCGAAAUUAAAGACGUUUCUUUCAACUGAAACCAUGGCUACAACCAACCGCAGAUGAUACACUCGUAACCUCACCACGACUUAAAUCUCCCGAUAGGAAUUCUUUGUUCUCCUUGUAUGAACGAUUACCCCUAUGUCAGAAGGUAACGUCGCCACGCUCUUUACGACAGCGGUGUGCAGUUAAGGACUGUGAGUUUUGUCCCUUUCUGGGACCUUAAAGGCCACGAACCGAAGUGUGCGUGUUAAACGUAGCUCCCUGGCUGUUUCUCUUCUAAACGUCAGUUUCUUGACGGCUAGCAACCCUCCUAAAACUAUUCCGUUACUUUUUACGAGUACCUCUUUUAACCCUUCUCCUCGUGGGUCUAAAUCUACCUGUUUAGCAGAUACUUCGUCGUCCAUCUUACGGUGUACCGUCCGACCCUUAACGAUUACUCAAUAAAUCGUUUCGUCUCUUCCGCUUCAAAUUCAGAUUUUCCCACUACCGGAGUGUUGGCCACGCCAGACGAUCCCUCCUGGCAGAUCUUUCUCUCUUGUUUGUAAACUUCGUCCUCUUGUUCGCAGAAGCUCCGUAACUCGAACAACACGUCAGUAACCGACUCUUUCCCCCUCACCUGAAACUACCGUAUUACGUUAGUCGAUGCCGACUGAACAGAUGUAGUCUAAGCCUUCCGUCUUAAGCAUCCCCUGCUCCACUACACGUAGUUUCGCUUGGACUUUUCCAGGACGAGGCCUUUCACAAGCUCUCAUGGAUAGUCACCUCGUCACGGGGGGGACAACUAGAUGGUCCCUUACCCUUCGUCCUGACCUCCGUCACGGUCAGUACCUCUACUACUACUCCUACUGAUGAUACCAUCGCUCCCUCUACUACUGAUACCGUUCCUACCAGAUAUACCACUACUCGGUAUGAUACCACCACUCCCUAUAUUACUGAUACUUCUACUCCUUAUAUUACUCAUACCGUUACUAUUACUACUAACCGGUAUUUUCAGAUCACUAGAAGUUCAGUACGGUUUUAGUUCAAUACAAUCUACAAACUUUAUGAAAUAGAAUACCUGGUUAAACAGUAUCACCUGUUAAAUGGAAGCGUUUUAUACUGGAUAGAGUC
This 7212-nucleotide ribosomal RNA is filed under the name Triticum aestivum (bread wheat). RNAcentral describes it as "partial small subunit ribosomal RNA". The record is from RNAcentral. Lineage: Eukaryota; Viridiplantae; Streptophyta; Magnoliopsida; Poales; Poaceae.